GAACAUCCUCCAAGGCUAAAUACUCCUGACUGACCGAUAGUGAACCAGUACCGUGAGGGAAAGGCGAAAAGAACCCCGGCGAGGGGAGUGAAAAAGAACCUGAAACCGUGUACGUACAAGCAGUGGGAGCACAGGUUUACCUGUGUGACUGCGUACCUUUUGUAUAAUGGGUCAGCGACUUAUAUUCUGUAGCAAGGUUAACCG
RNAcentral lists this ribosomal RNA (204 nucleotides) under Salmonella enterica subsp. enterica serovar Mbandaka. RNAcentral's name for it is "partial 23S ribosomal RNA". It matches the Rfam family "Bacterial large subunit ribosomal RNA", at positions 451 to 652 of the family's 2925-position model. The record is from RNAcentral. Lineage: Bacteria; Pseudomonadati; Pseudomonadota; Gammaproteobacteria; Enterobacterales; Enterobacteriaceae.